RNAcentral lists this ribosomal RNA (497 nucleotides) under uncultured bacterium. RNAcentral describes it as "partial 16S ribosomal RNA". It matches the Rfam family "Bacterial small subunit ribosomal RNA", at positions 28 to 507 of the family's 1533-position model. The record is from RNAcentral.
GAUGAACGCUGGCGGCGUGCCUAAUACAUGCAAGUCGAGCGAACGGACGAGAAGCUUGCUUCUCUGAUGUUAGCGGCGGACGGGGGAGUAACACGUGGAUAACCUACCUAUAAGACUGGGAUAAAUUCGGGAAACCGGAGCGAAUACCGGAUAAUAUUUUGAACCGCAUGGUUCAAAAGUGAAAGACGGUCUUGCUGUCACUUAUAGAUGGAUCCGCGCUGCAUUAGCUAUUUGGUAAGGUAACGGCUUACCAAGGCAACGAUGCAUAGCCGACCUGAGAGGGUGAUCGGCCACACUGGAACUGAGACACGGUCCAGACUCCUACGGGAGGCAGCAGUAGGGAAUCUUACGCAAUGGGCGAAAGCCUGACGGAGCAACGCCGCGUGAGUGAUGAAGGUCUUCGGAUCGUAAAACUCUGUUAUUAGGGAAGAACAUAUGUGUAAGUAACUGUGCACAUCUUGACGGUACCUAAUUAGAAAGCCACGGCUAACUACGUG